GAUGAACGCUGGCGGCGUGCCUAAUACAUGCAAGUCGAGCGAACAGACGAGGAGCUUGCUCCUCUGACGUAGGCGCGGGCCGGUGGGUUAAACGUGGGAUAACUACCUAUUAAGCCGGGGUAAAUUUCGGAAACCGGCUGUAAUUACGGAUAAAUAAUUGAAACGGAUGGAUCCAUAGGUGAAGACGGUUUUGCUGUCUCUUAUUAGUGGAUCCGCGCCGCAUUAGCUAGUUGGUAAGGUAACGGCUUACCAAGGCGACGAUGCGUAGCCGACCUGAGAGGGUGAUCGGCCACACUGGAACUGAGACACGGUCCAGACUCCUACGGGAGGCAGCAGUAGGGAAUCUUCCGCAAUGGGCGAAAGCCUGACGGAGCAACGCCGCGUGAGUGAUGAAGGUCUUCGGAUCGUAAAACUCUGUUAUUAGGGAAGAACAAAUGUGUAAGUAACUAUGCACGUCUUGACGGUACCUAAUCAGAAAGCCACGGCUAACUACGUG
RNAcentral lists this ribosomal RNA (496 nucleotides) under uncultured bacterium. Its description in RNAcentral is "partial 16S ribosomal RNA". It matches the Rfam family "Bacterial small subunit ribosomal RNA", at positions 28 to 507 of the family's 1533-position model. The record is from RNAcentral.